UAGGGAAUCUUCGGCAAUGGGGGGAACCCUGACCGAGCAACGCCGCGUGAGUGAAGAAGGUUUUCGGAUCGUAAAGCUCUGUUGUUAAGGAAGAACGAGUGUGAGAAUGGAAAGUUCAUACUGUGACGGUACUUAACCAGAAAGGGACGGCUAACUACGUGCCAGCAGCCGCGGUAAUACGUAGGUGGCAAGCGUUAUCCGGAAUUAUUGGGCGUAAAGCGCGCGUAGGCGGUUAGAAAAGUCUGAAGUGAAAGGCAGUGGCUCAACCAUUGUAGGCUUUGGAAACUGUUUAACUUGAGUGCAGAAGGGGAGAGUGGAAUUCCAUGUGUAGCGGUGAAAUGCGUAGAUAUAUGGAGGAACACCGGUGGCGAAAGCGGCUCUCUGGUCUGUAACUGACGCUGAGGCUCGAAAGCGUGGGGAGCGAACAGG
This 429-nucleotide ribosomal RNA is filed under the name Bacteroidota bacterium. RNAcentral describes it as "Bacteroidetes bacterium partial 16S ribosomal RNA". It matches the Rfam family "Bacterial small subunit ribosomal RNA", at positions 355 to 776 of the family's 1533-position model. The record is from RNAcentral. Lineage: Bacteria; Pseudomonadati; Bacteroidota.